This 496-nucleotide ribosomal RNA is filed under the name uncultured bacterium. Its description in RNAcentral is "partial 16S ribosomal RNA". It matches the Rfam family "Bacterial small subunit ribosomal RNA", at positions 29 to 507 of the family's 1533-position model. The record is from RNAcentral.
AUGAACGCUGGCGGCGUGCCUAAUACAUGCACGUCGAGCGAACGGACGAGAAGCUUGCUUCUCUGAUGUUAGCGGCGGACGGGUGAGUAACACGUGGAUAACCUACCUAUAAGACUGGGAUAACUUCGGGAAACCGUAGCUAAUACCGGAUAAUAUUUUGAACCGCAUGGUUCAAAAGUGAAAGACGGUCUUGCUGUCACUUAUAGAUGGAUCCGCGCUGCAUUAGCUAGUUGGUAAGGUAACGGCUUACCAAGGCAACGAUGCAUAGCCGACCUGAGAGGGUGAUCAGCCACACUGGAACUGAGACACGGUCCAGACUCCUACGGGAGGCAGCAGUAGGGAAUCUUCCGCAAUGGGCGAAAGCCUGACGGAGCAACGCCGCGUGAGUGAUGAAGGUCUUCGGAUCGUAAAACUCUGUUAUUAGGGAAGAACAUAUGUGUAAGUAACUGUGCACAUCUUGACGGUACCUAAUCAGAAAGCCACGGCUAACUACGUG